Molecule: long non-coding RNA, 101 nt
Organism: Ipomoea nil (Japanese morning glory)
Lineage: Eukaryota; Viridiplantae; Streptophyta; Magnoliopsida; Solanales; Convolvulaceae
Exons: 3
Source: RefSeq, a predicted model, not a curated record
GGAUUCUCACUCCCUUUAAUGCUUUGGGUGGGAAUGAUGAUGGAUCUGUUCGUGAUUCUUCAGAACGGACCGUCUCCGAGGUUGCCUCCACCCCCAUUUAU